AGUGAACGCUGGCGGUAGGCCUAACACAUGCAAGUCGAACGGCAGCACAGUAAGAGCUUGCUCUUACGGGUGGCGAGUGGCGGACGGGUGAGGAAUACAUCGGAAUCUACUUUUUCGUGGGGGAUAACGUAGGGAAACCUACGCUAAUACCGCAUACGACCUACGGGUGAAAGCAGGGGAUCUUCGGACCUUGCGCGAUUGAAUGAGCCGAUGUCGGAUUAGCUAGUUGGCGGGGUAAAGGCCCACCAAGGCGACGAUCCGUAGCUGGUCUGAGAGGAUGAUCAGCCACACUGGAACUGAGACACGGUCCAGACUCCUACGGGAGGCAGCAGUGGGGAAUAUUGGACAAUGGGCGCAAGCCUGAUCCAGCCAUACCGCGUGGGUGAAGAAGGCCUUCGGGUUGUAAGCCCUUUUGUUGGGAAAGAAAAGCAGCAGGUUAAUACCCCGCUGUUCUGACGGUACCCAAAGAAUAAGCACCGGCUAACUUCGUG
Molecule: ribosomal RNA, 491 nt
Filed under: uncultured bacterium
Lineage: Bacteria
Description: partial 16S ribosomal RNA
Rfam family: Bacterial small subunit ribosomal RNA
Source: RNAcentral